Molecule: long non-coding RNA, 4260 nt
Filed under: Cairina moschata (Muscovy duck)
Lineage: Eukaryota; Metazoa; Chordata; Aves; Anseriformes; Anatidae
Description: domestica (muscovy Duck (domestic type)) lncRNA (ENSCMMG00000000427.1)
Source: RNAcentral
GGAAUGAUGAGGACAAUAAAUAUCACAAAGCUAUAAAUGAAAUCUACCACUGAGAUGAGAAUGUAUUAUCAUAGAACCAUAGAAUAUCCCGACUUGGAAAGGACCCAGAAAGAUCAUUGAGUCCAACUCCUGUCACUGCACAGGUCUACCCAAAACUUCAGACCAUGUGAUUAAGUGCACAAUCCAAACACUGACAGGCUUGGUGCCAUGACUAUGCUCUUGGGGAGCCCGAUCCAGUGCAUGACCAUCCUCUCAGUGAAGAACCUCUUCCUGAUAUCCAGCCUGAACCUCCCCUGUCGCAGCUUGACACCAUUCCCUCGGGUCAUUAAAGAGAAUGGAUCAGCACCUGCCCCUCCACUCCCUCUCAAUCUGUACAGACCUGCUUCCAGUCUGUACAGACCUAGUAACCUCAGCCGCUCCUUGUACAUCUUCUCCCCUAGGCCCUUCAUCAUCUUCUCCCCUAGGCCCUUCAUCUUUGUAGCCCUUCUCUGGAUGCUCUCUAACAGGUUCACAUAUUUCACGUAUGCUUUUCUUUUUCAUAGUCUUAAAGGGGACAAGUCUUUUACUCAUAAAUUGUACCUCAACUGAUCAACUAGUGACAUGUCUCUUCCUUGAGAGUAGGGCUGAAUCCAAUAUAUCAAUUUAUUUAUCAAUUCAUUUAAUUUCUGCAGUAUGAAGUAGACCAAGUGCUCUCACAUGAAGAGUUUUUUUCUUGGUUCAGGCCUCCAUUAUCUGGGAUAUUAAACUGAGGGUUUAUUUCGAACAGUUAAUUCAAGAUGGUUAAUUAACUACUUACAACCUAGCAUAGCAGAAAUGUAGUAUUUGCAUAUACAAAAAAAUAUAUGUAAGCUUUUUGGACGAUAAAAUCUUUGAAGCUGUGAUACAACUGCUGAAAAUUGUCUCAGUUUUCAGUACAAUAAACUUGAAUUGUUUAAUAUUUAAUAGCUUCUUUCCACCACUGACAAUAUUUGAUAGCUGCUUUCCACCACUGAAGAAAUUUAAGCAUGGAAUUAUUCAUUUUCAAACAUCACAAUUUCCUUUCCAUUACAUUAGUAAAACAUGAACUUUUCAAAGAUAAAAUGAAAAAGAUCUCUGAAAAUACCUGUCAAUAUCUUACAGCUUUACAUUAAAAGAUAAAUUAGGAACAAAAAAAAAAAGGUAAAAUUAUGUACUUGUUUCUGUGUGAUACCCACCUCCUGACAUUCUAAUCACUACUGUGUUUUUUUUUUUUUAAUUUAAAUUUCUUUUUUUUUUUAAUUUAAAAAUUCUCACUGUGGUGCAGGCUUUACUGAUACACUUUAAAAGUUACUGAGCAUGUGCAAAAAUAAUAGGCUGAUUAUUGACAUAAUUCGUUAACAAAUUGAUGUCAUAUUUUAAAUGUAGCUUGUUAUUUCCAUAACCAUUCACCAUUAUUAUUUAUUUUUUUUUUUGGCUCCUUCUGGCAUUAUGUCUGAAAGCAUAGAUAGAAAUAUUGCAUUCCUACCCUGAAUCUUCAGUCAACUUCCCUCAACUAUUAAAAAUAUGCAGUCUAUAGGACAUACUUAAUUCAUUUGUAUGUUUAAUGGAAAGGAAUAUAGCAAAUAUGUUCAGGGAGUACAUAUAAAUAUUGAACAGUUUACCCUAUCAAUAGCAAAAUGGUAGUGUUUUUAUUAUCUCUUGACAAUAGUUCUUGGAGUAAUUUUAAAGCUUUUCUUAAAACUGAUCGCAACAGAUUAAUUCUUGCUUACAGGAACCAAACAAGGAAAAGAAUUAUUUAAUGUUCAAGCAGUUGGUGCCUGAACACAACACAGCAGCUACCAGCAACUCUUAACCAUGUUACAGCCAUUAAACAUUCUUCUCUAUCAGAUUAGGAUUAGUAGUCUAAUCAAUGUGAAAAUAAGUAAAAAAAAAAAAAACAAAACAAAGAAACAGGCAAAUGCAUCAGGAUAAGUUACUUGCAUUUUAUCUAAAAGCCACAGAAUGACAAACGAUCUAAGAAAAUCCAGAUUAAUCUUCCCAGAGAUUAAAAUUUAUUAGAAAAUGUCCUGAACGUGAGACUGUUAUCAAUGACGUUACACUGUAAACCAGACAUAGUAUAUUAAAGAAAGACAAAGUAAUAAUAAAUGAGAAUUUAUUUUAAAGAUUACUUAUAUUUCCUUGGGAAAACCUAGGACUUUACACUUUUGCAUAUAUGCAGUUUACCAGAUAGACAGAAAUGUCUCCCUGUCUAAUUCUUGAAAUUGCUCUUAACAAAAAAUGGACAAUUCUAGAACUGAUCUCCCUGGUUUGUUUUUUUUUGUUUUGUUUUUUUUUUUUUUUUCCUCAUUUUGCUUAUAUUUAUAACAAAUUUACUCUGAAUUAUUAAUGGAGGUCAGCUUUUAUUUGUCUAGUUUUCAGAUAAUGUUCACUCAUUGUGAUCUUUGAGUGAGCCUUUCACCAGUAAAAAUCUCCUCAGCAGACAGAAAUUGAAUUGUACAGUUUUCUUCUCAACAAUAGAAGACAAACUUUGUGUCUCUCCUGUGAAAAUCAGGCUCCUGUUCCAUAGCUUCUGCCUGAAAAACAAAAGUUCCCCUUCUAACUGAAUAGCUCUGGAGCCCAGCAAACCUUACUAGGAAAGAAACACAAAUGUUGGCUCUUUCAUCUAUUUUUUAUUUGAAAAAUAACGUUAUCCCACUUGAUAAAAACAAAAUAACAAUAAUAAUAAUAAACUGCAAAGCACUUGUCAUAUAUUGUUUUUUUUUUUUUUUAGAGAUAGGUGUUACAUUCUACAAAAUUUGUAGAAUACUAGUCUGUAGUAUACAGGACCCUACUGCUCCUGUAGCAUUUCAUGGAUGAAUCACAGUGCUAGCUUAUCGGUAUAUUGAGAUAUCAAUUCGUUCCCUUAAGUAUAUUUGACUGCAUCUACCAUGCUGUUUAUCAGAACACCCCCCCACCACCACCACCUUUGAGAGUUAAAACUCUCCUUGACUGUCAGCCUCUUAUGGUUUCAACAUACCACUUUAGACACUAAAUUGUUAACUUAGACUUCCUGCACAUACUGCAGGAAUUUUGUUUGUUUGUUUUGUCUGUUUUUUAGUCUAGUAAAGAACCUCUGUGUCUCUCAGUAUAUGAAAUUACCUUGAUGCAGAGUCUUCAUACCUGUUUGAAUACAAUAACAAGAAGUUUACAACAUCUGUUCAAAUGCUGAGGAAUAUUACACAAACAACUAAUGAUGUAUUUUUCUUCCUAUGCUGUAUAUAAGCAAAUGAUUGGGGCACUUAAUAAAGCUACACUGCUAUCAGAAGUAAAGAUAUUGAUGGGAUGGUAUUCUCUACAGACAGGCAAAGGUUCCCAUCUAUGGUCCCUCCUGGCCUUAAACCAUCACUUGACUCUAUAACAGAAUUGUUUACUGCAAGCUGAACAAGUCACAUUUAACCUCAACAAACAGUCAAAUUUAAAGGGAAAUGUACCCCACAGUCUUUCUGAACCUGUAUUCAAAAAGAAUGUGAUUAAUCAAACAAGUUUUAUUUUAAUUAAUCUAGAUGAAAUCAUCUUCUGUUCUUCUGCAGUAAUCAUAGGGUGAAUGAAUGUAUAAAACUAAAGAACAAAAUAUAAAUCCCACAACACCAGUAUAGCAAGAUACAUCAAGUCUUUUUUUGUUCAGAUAAUAUCAAGCAAAUUGUUAGGGUUUUACAAAUAAUUAUCUACAAAGCAUUGCACAAACCAAGAAUAUAGACAAAAUGUCAAUAAAGUUAAGGCGUCAACAUUCUGUAAAGCAUGUGUGACUCAUUCUGUUUAUCUUAAAUAUUUUUUUCAGGAAUGUGUUUUUCCUGAAGAGAGUAAAAUCUCAAUUUUCUAAUAAUCAGUUACUCUGAUCAAAGAGAGCAAAGGAUAAUAAGGCCUUUCCAGAAGUGAAAUUGCAACAAACACUAUGAAUGACGAAUAAAGGAGGUGAAUAUAGUUUUCUUUCUGGCUAUGUUGUGUAAUACAUUGCCAUCAGCAGAACAUCAAGCAGAUACAUCAAGCAGAAUUUCAUCCUUUUGAGUGGUAAACCAUGAUGUAAUGUCAUUAGUUUUUUUCAGUCCAUUUUAUAUGUUAAUGAGCCUUCCAGUUAUAUGUAUUAGAGAGACUUUUGCACUUUGCUGGUCUUUCAGAUAUGUUUAUGAGAAUGAAAUAGAAUAGAAAGAAAGUCAUGUUCAGAACACCAUGAAAGAAUUGCUGUGAAAUGGAGGAGGAGUUAAUGACAUAGAAAUUGAGUCAAUAUGGUAGCAAAGCUAUUUUGUAUUGUUCCUUAAAGUGCUU